This 468-nucleotide ribosomal RNA is filed under the name uncultured bacterium. RNAcentral's name for it is "partial 16S ribosomal RNA". It matches the Rfam family "Bacterial small subunit ribosomal RNA", at positions 28 to 507 of the family's 1533-position model. The record is from RNAcentral.
GACAAACGCUGGCAGCGUGCUUAACACAUGCAAGUCGAACGGAAAGGCCCUGCUUUUAUAGGAUGCUCGAGUGGCGAACGGGUGAGUAACACGUGAGUAACCUGCCCUUGACUUUGGGAUAACUUCAGGAAACUGGGGCUAAUACCGGAUAGGAUCUCCGCCUUCCUGGUGGGGGUUGGAAAGUUUCAGCGGUUGGGGAUGGACUCGCGGCUUUUCACCUUGUGGUGGGGGAAGUGGCUUCCCAGGGGUUUGACGGUUACCGGGCCUGAGAGGGUGACCGGCGACAUUGGGACUGAGAUACGGCCCAGACUCCUACGGGAGGCAGAAGUGGGGAAUAUUGCACAAUGGGGGGAAGCCUGAUGCAGAAACGCCGCGUGCGGGAUGACGGCCUUCGGGUUGUAAACCGCAUUCGCAGGUGACGAAGCGUGAGUGACGGUAAUGGGUAAAGAAGCACCGGCUAACUACGUG